Molecule: long non-coding RNA, 374 nt
Organism: Hemicordylus capensis (graceful crag lizard)
Lineage: Eukaryota; Metazoa; Chordata; Lepidosauria; Squamata; Cordylidae
Exons: 3
Source: RefSeq, a predicted model, not a curated record
GGGAAAGGAACCACUAAGAUAACAAGCCUGCAGAAAUGAGCUCUGCUUCUAGGCCGAAGAGGGAAAGAUCGCUUGAGACUCUCAGUCCUGCGGACACAGGGUGCCAUUAUGAGAGCUGAAUGCUGGACUGGCCUUUGGGCUACAAAGACUCUGCAGCCACUUCUGCAGGAGGCUGUGGGAAAUUGCUCCCCCCAAUGAAUCUGGUAGAGAAAAUUUGGGGGGAAAUAGAAUCGUAUAAAACCAACUCCUCAGUCCUGUACUUCAGAAGUCACUAUAGCUCAUCAUGGAGAGAACGCUUUUCUUGGCUGCUGUUCUGAAUAGCAUUAAAGAAGCUAUAACAAAUGGGCAUGAGACACUGGACUACGAGAAGGACG